GAGUUUGAUCCUGGCUCAGGAUGAACGCUGGCGGCGUGCCUAACACAUGCAAGUCGAACGGUUAAACCGCCCUCGGGCGGACAUACAGUGGCGAACGGGUGAGUAACACGUGACCAACCUGCCCCGCGCUCCGGGACAACCGCUGGAAACGGCGGCUAAUACCGGAUACUCCGCGGCCCCCGCAUGGGGGCGGCGGGAAAGCCCCGACGGCGCGGGAUGGGGUCGCGGCCCAUUAGGUAGUAGGCGGGGUAGAGGCCCACCUAGCCGACGAUGGGUAGCCGGACUGAGAGGUCGAUCGGCCACAUUGGGACUGAGAUACGGCCCAGACUCCUACGGGAGGCAGCAGUGGGGAAUUUUGCGCAAUGGGGGAAACCCUGACGCAGCAACGCCGCGUGCGGGACGAAGGCCCUCGGGUCGUAAACCGCUUUCAGCAGGGAAGACCACGACGGUACCUGCAGAAGAAGCUCCGGCUAACUACGUG
RNAcentral lists this ribosomal RNA (481 nucleotides) under uncultured Coriobacteriaceae bacterium. RNAcentral describes it as "bacterial SSU rRNA". It matches the Rfam family "Bacterial small subunit ribosomal RNA", at positions 9 to 507 of the family's 1533-position model. Lineage: Bacteria; Bacillati; Actinomycetota; Coriobacteriia; Coriobacteriales; Coriobacteriaceae. The record is from RNAcentral.